UUGUUGUUCUAGCAGUUUCCAUCGGGCCAAUCCGGUACGUCACAACAAGCUGCUAUGGGAUUGAAGUUAAUUUGUAGUACCAUUUUGCAAAGCAGAGCGAUCAAAACAAGUUAUAGAAGAAAAGGGCGGGCACCAGAGAACGGCUGCUGUGUACCGUAACCGCUCGGUUAUUUGGUAAAACCAAUACUUGCGGUGAGAAAAUACCAAAUGGUAAAAAGAAUUUCAACCACUGACACUAACUGCAACCGCCCGCUAUGGUGUUAGGAACACUUUAAUGGGUAAAGCUUUGGAAGUGCAUACACCAUUCCCUAAUUCUAGACAACUUCUCAUACUUACCAAUGAAAGGAUUAUCAUUGACGAAAUCAUACAAAGCUUGAUUUCCAAUCAAAAAUGAGCCCACAAUACGGCCCUGAUGCAUUUUCUUCAUACGAUUGGUAACUGCGCCAGCCUUGACUAAAUCAACUACACCGUUGGCAAACAUCUCGGAAUGGAUGCCCAAAUCUUUAUGAUUAUGCAAAGCAUUCAAGACAGCAUCUGGAAUGCUACCGAUGCCCAUUUGCAGUGUGGCACCAUCA
Molecule: long non-coding RNA, 575 nt
Organism: Stomoxys calcitrans (stable fly)
Lineage: Eukaryota; Metazoa; Arthropoda; Insecta; Diptera; Muscidae
Exons: 2
Source: RefSeq, a predicted model, not a curated record